Molecule: ribosomal RNA, 487 nt
Filed under: uncultured bacterium
Lineage: Bacteria
Description: partial 16S ribosomal RNA
Rfam family: Bacterial small subunit ribosomal RNA
Source: RNAcentral
GAUUGAACGCUGGCGGCAUGCCUUCCCCAUGCAAGUCGAACGGCAGCCCGGGUGCUUGCACCUGGUGGCGAGUGGCGAACGGGUGAGUAAUACAUCGGAACAUGUCCUGUAGUGGGGGAUAGCCCGGCGAAAGCCGGAUUAAUACCGCAUACGAUCUACGGAUGAAAGCGGGGGACCUUCGGGCCUCGCGCUAUAGGGUUGGCCGAUGGCUGAUUAGCUAGUUGGUGGGGUAAAGGCCUACCAAGGCGACGAUCAGUAGCUGGUCUGAGAGGACGACCAGCCACACUGGGACUGAGACACGGCCCAGACUCCUACGGGAGGCAGCAGUGGGGAAUUUUGGACAAUGGGCGAAAGCCUGAUCCAGCAAUGCCGCGUGUGUGAAGAAGGCCUUCGGGUUGUAAAGCACUUUUGUCCGGAAAGAAAUCCUUGGCCCUAAUACGGUCGGGGGAUGACGGUACCGGAAGAAUAAGCACCGGCUAACUACGUG